CGAACCCGUUCUGCCAACGAGCGAUGAGGAACGGCCGGAGGCUGAGCACCUCCCUCCUUCCUGGCUUCUCCCUCCCCCCCUCAACGGUGUGAAUGACACUCCAGUGUUUGCGGUCGUGGGUGCUUACAUAAAAGGAGGGGUCGGAGCCUCAGUCGUUAAUGACCUUGUACCCUUGCUGCACAGUCUUAUCCGAUGCAAGUUCGCAAGAAGAAAGACUUAAUAUGGAUCCCGCUCUAUUUGACAAAGUAAACGAUAAGCAAGAUGCACACUGGCUCUUGUCCCAGGAAGGAGCUAUUUGGGGGAACUCAGCAUCUGCCUCUCCCAAUUGGCCUCACUGGAAUCAGACUCAACAGUUUUCUCAGAAAGAUGGAGAUCAGGAUGGCUGAUCUGGAUACCAUGUGAAGAGUCCUCUCUUGAUUUUGCAUCCUGCAGCUUUCAACAGCACCAGACCACUAAUGCUAGCUUAACACUGAAGGAAAGUCAAUAAAAAAACCCAAAAGUUCAACAAAUA
Non-coding RNA from Pogona vitticeps (central bearded dragon), 511 nucleotides. The record is from RefSeq and is a predicted model, not a curated record. Lineage: Eukaryota; Metazoa; Chordata; Lepidosauria; Squamata; Agamidae.